Molecule: long non-coding RNA, 602 nt
Organism: Macadamia integrifolia
Lineage: Eukaryota; Viridiplantae; Streptophyta; Magnoliopsida; Proteales; Proteaceae
Exons: 3
Source: RefSeq, a predicted model, not a curated record
GUUUAUUCCCAAUAAUUCCAGAGUCCGCGAUAGAGAGAGGAGAGAAGAGAGAACCUAGCUCGCCCCCUUCUGAAAUCUCCAGUGCAGAGCAGGUAUUGGGAACAAAUUUAGGGGUUUUUUGGACCACCUAUGAUUGACUCUAGAUUCCAGAGAUAGAGAUCGAUAAGCUUCAAUGUUUUGAGGAGAGAAUAUAUUUUGGAAAAAUCAUUCCUGAUAAUUCCAGAGUCCGCGCAUAGAGAGAGGAGAGAAGAGAGAAGAGAGAAGAGGAGCUCGCCCCCUUGUGAAAUCUCCAGUGCAGAGCAGGUAUUGGGACCAAUUUUAGGGUUUUUUUGGACCACCUAUGACUGACUCUAGAUUCCAGAGAUAGAGAUCGAUAAGCUUCAACAUUUUGAGGAAAGAUUUGUUUGUAACCCUCAAAUAUUCCCCUUAAAGGUCUUCAUCAUUGUAUAGCUCAUAGAGAGAGGUAACGUCUUCUUCUUCUCUUCGGAACCUCUUCCCUUUCUUCUUCUUCUCUAAUCGCAGAGCAGUUAAUUCAUCCUUAGUGCCCUGUGAAACCCUAAAAGGAAGAUUCAGAGAGAGAAAGAGAGACUUUUUGGCACACA